GACGAACGCUGGCGGCGUGCUUAACACAUGCAAGUCGAACGGAAAGGCCCUGCUUUUGUGGGGUGCUCGAGUGGCGAACGGGUGAGUAACACGUGAGUAACCUGCCCUUGACUUUGGGAUAACUUCAGGAAACUGGGGCUAAUACCGGAUAGGAGCUCCUGCUGCAUGGUGGGGGUUGGAAAGUUUCGGCGGUUGGGGAUGGACUCGCGGCUUAUCAGCUUGUUGGUGGGGUAGUGGCUUACCAAGGCUUUGACGGGUAGCCGGCCUGAGAGGGUGACCGGCCACAUUGGGACUGAGAUACGGCCCAGACUCCUACGGGAGGCAGCAGUGGGGAAUAUUGCACAAUGGGCGGAAGCCUGAUGCAGCAACGCCGCGUGCGGGAUGACGGCCUUCGGGUUGUAAACCGCUUUCGCCUGUGACGAAGCGUGAGUGACGGUAAUGGGUAGAGAAGGACCGGCUAAGUACGUG
Molecule: ribosomal RNA, 468 nt
Filed under: uncultured bacterium
Lineage: Bacteria
Description: partial 16S ribosomal RNA
Rfam family: Bacterial small subunit ribosomal RNA
Source: RNAcentral